Molecule: long non-coding RNA, 873 nt
Organism: Polypterus senegalus (gray bichir)
Lineage: Eukaryota; Metazoa; Chordata; Cladistia; Polypteriformes; Polypteridae
Exons: 2
Source: RefSeq, a predicted model, not a curated record
UUGUUGUCGUCGUUACGGCACCUUCUGUUGAAAAUUGCACUGCCGGAGCCCGAGCGCACUCUUCAGCUAUUUGUUAUAAUUAUGGAAUAUGAGCGCCUACUUUGUUACCUACUUUUAAUUAAAUCUCUCGACACUUCAGCUUUGGUGGUUCGCCAACAACACCCCCUCCCCCAGGCCUGCACACACACACACACACACACACACACACACGGUCCCCUCUUUAUUAUUUUAAUUUGUAAAGAAAAGUAAAUUAACGAAAAGGGAAGUGCGCUUUCGACCAGUAAUUUCUGUUGCGGGCGGGACGAGCCCUCCAGCAUCAAAACAGAAGACAGCGCGAUGUCGGUACCUGCGGUGACCACGCCUCGUACUUGAAGGUAGAGAGUCUGCAAAAUGUCAGCUGUUUGUAGUGGUGACCUUUUAAGCAGGAACAGAAAGAGCCAAUAGAAGACGCUCGUGUCGCUUUAAGAGUACAGACUGCCAAAAAGGAAAGCGGAGUCAUGCAGGCGGCAGUUUCCAUGUCGCAAAGAAGUGUUUUCGAGGACGAAAAAAUUAGAAGGAAGUCAGAACUUUAGUGUCAGGAAUUUCUUUUCCAAAACAGGUGUCCGACUUAUUUUGAAACGCGAGCCAUCAGGCGGCAUCACCCCCAAAGGCGAGAUUGUUGAGUAAAUGGAAAAACAUAUUACGGCAUUAAAGGAAGAUUGUUUAGAAAAGGAAGACGGAGCCGAGGUGUAGAGGAAGCCUGUUUAUUAACACUGGACACCUCUUAUCGCACAAAAUUCCAGAUGGACAGGCCUUCAAUAAUUCAUACGUGCUGUCAAUUGGCAUCACCACCUUGAUUGGGAUUCCCGAUUUGAACAACAAAAAAAAAAAAAA